Molecule: long non-coding RNA, 841 nt
Filed under: Nicotiana benthamiana
Lineage: Eukaryota; Viridiplantae; Streptophyta; Magnoliopsida; Solanales; Solanaceae
Description: long non-coding RNA (NBEN_LNC032799)
Source: RNAcentral
CUAUUGAGCGUCACAAGUCAUUUGAUGAAGAUGAGAUAGCAGCAAAACCAAUUGUCCCACCCAAGAAAGUCAAUACAGCUAAAAUAAAUGCUAGACAAUAUUCAAUUGCGGACCUACAGAUGGCUACUGAUAGCUUCAGUGUUGAUAACCUUAUUGGUGAGGGAUCCUUUGGGCGUGUUUAUCGGGCUCAAUUCGAUGAUGGAAAGGUAUAUUUUCUCCCUUAUGACUGACCAACUAUGAAAAGAAAAUGUUGUUGAUAACCUUAUCGGUGAGGGAUCUUUUGGGCGUGUUUAUCGGGCUCAAUUCGAUGAUGGAAAGGUAUAUUUUCUCCCUUAUGACUGACCAACUAUGAAAAGAAAAUGUUUGUCUUUAAUUGAAUAUGGAUGUCAUAUCAUGAAUUGAUUUUGUGCUGGUAAUGAAGCAAGACAGUUGAAAUGGCAGAUAAAUGUUCGUUAAGAAGCCUAUGAAUAGAAAGAAAAAAAAGAGCAGUUUGAUAACAAAAAAAGAACUAUUUAGUUGAAGAGUUAUGUUUGCUGAAAACUUCUGUUUUGAAGAUACUAUCAUCUAUGCCUGUGUAACUAAACCAUCUUCAUAAGUUCCUUUCUAAUUUUGAAAUGCCACAGGUUCUUGCUGUCAAGAAAAUCAACUCUUCUGCACUCCACAAUCCUGAAGAUUUUCUCGAUAUAGUUUCUGAGAUAUCCGGGUUGCAUCAUCCAAAUGUAACUGAGCUGGUCGGAUAUUGUUCAGAGCAUGGGCAGCACCUGCUGGUUUAUGAAUUUCACAAAAAUGGUGCUCUCCAUGAUUUCCUGCAUCUGUCAGAUGAGAAUAGCAAGCCACUAAC